This 376-nucleotide ribosomal RNA is filed under the name uncultured bacterium. RNAcentral's name for it is "bacterial SSU rRNA". It matches the Rfam family "Bacterial small subunit ribosomal RNA", at positions 521 to 896 of the family's 1533-position model. RNAcentral also lists the same sequence under 1 other name. The record is from RNAcentral.
UAAUACGGAGGGUGCAAGCGUUAAUCGGAAUUACUGGGCGUAAAGCGCGCGUAGGUGGCUUGAUAAGCCGGUUGUGAAAGCCCCGGGCUCAACCUGGGAACGGCAUCCGGAACUGUCAAGCUAGAGUGCAGGAGAGGAAGGUAGAAUUCCCGGUGUAGCGGUGAAAUGCGUAGAGAUCGGGAGGAAUACCAGUGGCGAAGGCGGCCUUCUGGACUGACACUGACACUGAGGUGCGAAAGCGUGGGUAGCAAACAGGAUUAGAUACCCUGGUAGUCCACGCCGUAAACGAUGUCGACCAGCCGUUGGGUGCCUAGCGCACUUUGUGGCGAAGUUAACGCGAUAAGUCGACCGCCUGGGGAGUACGGCCGCAAGGUUA